UUACCAAGGCUACGAUGGGUAGGGGUCCUGAGAGGGAGAUCCCCCACACUGGUACUGAGACACGGACCAGACUCCUACGGGAGGCAGCAGUGAGGAAUAUUGGACAAUGGGCGCAAGCCUGAUCCAGCCAUGCCGCGUGCAGGAUGACGGUCCUAUGGAUUGUAAACUGCUUUUAUACGAGAAGAAACACUCCUACGUGUAGGAGCUUGACGGUAUCGUAAGAAUAAGGAUCGGCUAACUCCGUGCCAGCAGCCGCGGUAAUACGGAGGAUCCAAGCGUUAUCCGGAAUCAUUGGGUUUAAAGGGUCCGUAGGCGGUUUAAUAAGUCAGUGGUGAAAGCCCAUCGCUCAACGGUGGAACGGCCAUUGAUACUGUUAAACUUGAAUUAUUAGGAAGUAACUAGAAUAUGUAGUGUAGCGGUGAAAUGCUUAGAGAUUACAUGGAAUACCAAUUGCGAAGGCAGGUUACUACUAAUUGAUUGACGCUGAUGGACGAAAGCGUGGGUAGCGAACAGGAUUAGAUACCCUGGUAGUCCACGCCGUAAACGAUGGAUACUAGCUGUUGGGAGCAAUCUCAGUGGCUAAGCGAAAGUGAUAAGUAUCCCACCUGGGGAGUACGUUCGCAAGAAUGAAACUCAAAGGAAUUGACGGGGGCCCGCACAAGCGGUGGAGCAUGUGGUUUAAUUCGAUGAUACGCGAGGAACCUUACCAAGGCUUAAAUGUAGAUUGACCGAUUUGGAAACAGAUCUUUCGCAAGACAAUUUACAAGGUGCUGCAUGGUUGUCGUCAGCUCGUGCCGUGAGGUGUCAGGUUAAGUCCUAUAACGAGCGCAACCCCUGUUGUUAGUUGCCAGCGAGUCAAGUCGGGAACUCUAACAAGACUGCCAGUGCAAACUGUGAGGAAGGUGGGGAUGACGUCAAAUCAUCACGGCCCUUACGCCUUGGGCUACACACGUGCUACAAUGGCCGGUACAGAGAGCAGCCACUGGGCGACCAGGAGCGAAUCUAUAAAACCGGUCACAGUUCGGAUCGGAGUCUGCAACUCGACUCCGUGAAGCUGUAAUCGCUAGUAAUCGGAUAUCAGCCAUGAUCCGGUGAAUACGUUCCCGGGCCUUGUACACACCGCCCGUCAAGCCAUGGAAGCUGGGGGUGCCUGAAGUCGGUGACCGCAAGGAGCUGCCUAGGGUAAAACUGGUAACUAGGGCUAAGUCGUAACAAGGUA
This 1219-nucleotide ribosomal RNA is filed under the name metagenome. RNAcentral describes it as "bacterial SSU rRNA". It matches the Rfam family "Bacterial small subunit ribosomal RNA", at positions 265 to 1498 of the family's 1533-position model. The record is from RNAcentral.